Molecule: ribosomal RNA, 253 nt
Filed under: uncultured bacterium
Lineage: Bacteria
Description: partial 16S ribosomal RNA
Rfam family: Bacterial small subunit ribosomal RNA
Source: RNAcentral
UACGGAGGGUGCAAGCGUUAAUCGGAAUUACUGGGCGUAAAGCGCACGCAGGUGGCUGAGUCAGUCGAUUGUGAAAGCCCUGGGCUUAACCUGGGAAUUGCAGUCGAUACUACUUAGCUAGAGUAUGGGAGAGGGCAGUGGAAUUCCCGGUGUAGCGGUGAAAUGCGUAGAUAUCAAGAGGAACACCAGUGGCGAAGGCGAGUCCCUGGACAACACCUGACACUGAGGCACGAAAGCUAGGGGAGCAAACAGG